CAGUUCCUUCUUCAAAGGGAGGGGCUGUGCAUUUUGCUGGUGUCACAUCUCCCUGGAGUGACAAUCUCCAAAGCUGCUCAGACACUGCGUUAAGAUGAUGCCUGGUGAUCUCUCAGUGCUGGCCAGCAUUUAUAGCUGUGGUCUAAAGGCACGGCAGAGACACCGGGAUGCUGACAAUGUCUUUCCUGCAGCAAAGAGCAGCACCUGGCAGAUCUCCUGUCCCUCAAGUGUGUUUGCACCUGUUUGCCGCUUUUCGUAGGAGAAAUAAUUUUUGAGUGUCUCAAAAUAAUACAAAAUACGUGGGAAUGAAAGGAGGAGAAACCCCAUUGCCUCAAAGGUCAAGUUAGCUAUCAGGAAGCAGCUCUCGGUAACAUUUCUUUCCUGUAUUUUGCUGAAAACAAGAUUCAGUGGUCAGGAUGACCACCACCUAGUCUAGAAGCCAAAAGCAGAAAUGAAAGCAGCACCUCUCUUUUGUGACUGAGGUGGCAAAAGACAAAGCUUCAGGGGAAUGCCCAGUGCCAAUGCACUCUAGAGGAAAAGGCAUCAUUUGCCUGAUGGCAGACCCCUCAUGGAUCCUGUGGGGUUAGGCCUUUGCUGCAAAGAAUCCACCAAGCUGUUCCCCUUGAAAGCCAGCUCUGCUGACUGUAGAUGGGAUUGAUUUGCAACAUUUUCUCUGUACCAUGUGUCCUGGUUUAGGGCAAUUUUGGGAGGAAACCUCCCGACAGGGCCCCUCCCAAAAGGAAACCCACAUGGCCACUGCCCCCAGCCGGUGUGGGAACAAUUUCCUUGGAGAUAAGUGGAAAGAAGUUGUUUAUUUAACAGGCAAAGCACUCCCCAGCACACAAAAUGAACAAUACUGGAUGUCAAAACUCAUUUGCUGCUCUGAAGAGAUGGCAAGUUCAGAAAGUCUCUCCUGGGGUUUGUCACUGUGUUAUCUGUCCCUCCAGUGCUGGGAAAGGCUGCAGAGUAGGCCCUGGUGGGCUACAAAGUGUGAGCUCUCGAUGUUUUGCCGGGUCCCAGUCUGGAGCAGGUUCGAAUGGUUCCAAGAAAGGGGAAAGAAAAACAGUAAAGGGAAAACUCAGACUGCCUUAGCUAGCUAAACUAACUAACUAACUAAAAAGCAAAAGGAGUGUGGUGCUCUACCCCAACUGUGCCUAGACAACAAUACUGGAGUUCCGUGUUCCAGCAGACUGCGGGGCAGAGUGCAGUUGAUAACAAAACUCUGUGCUCCCUCUUCUCCUGACACCUACUGUCUGAUCCAGUCUUGGAGGCACAGAAUAUAACAUCCAGCAUAAACAGAACAUGUGACUGGGGGUGCAAGCAUCAUAAUGUCACCCCAGAACAGAAGCCAAAUGUACAAGAAGUCACCAGAAAAGUAGAGUCCUUCCAGUGUCAGGUGCACUGAAGAGAAGCAGCUGCCAACGGCUCUGGACCCAGAGCACAGCUGUCUAAGGAUCCUGUGUUUUGAAGACUUCUCCAUUUGUGUGUGCAGCAAGGGAAGCCUUUGCCUGCUCUGGCUGUGGCUGGACACUAUUUUCCUUGCAAGCUGGAAAAGGAAUCUGUGUCUAGAGGAUUUCCUCCAAUGGCUGUUACAGGGCUUCAGGCUUCUCAGAAGGCCUGAGUGGUGGUGCUUGAGUUUGGCAAACAGACUCCAAGGGGAGAUGUGAGAAGACCCAACUGGUAAAUUCCUGGAAGAAUCAGACACAUGCACAGAUAGAGAAAAGAAAAAGGAGAAAAGACCCAGAGAAGAAUCUGUCGUGUUCCACUUACUGUUUGCCCAAGGACUUUUUUCCCGUUGGACUGCAGUGUUUUGCACUUGCAGGGACUAAAGGAUAUCUUUCUCUGCUGCUGUUUUGUUUCUAGGGGUUUCGGCACUGUGUGCAUGGCAGUGGAGUCUGCCACAGGAGAAGAGGUGGCCAUCAAGAAAAUUAGUCUCCUGCAAGAGAGCAGCAGUGAGCUGUGCCUGAAUGAAAUCCAGGUCAUGCGUGGCACUAAGAAUGCCAACCUUGUGAACUAUGUAGACAGGUGAGUGGUUCUGCUGUCCUGCCAUGAAAGGUCAUUCACAUCCUGCAAGCCAGAGGUUCAACCACUCCUUUGGGCGCUGGCAAAAGAGGAUGGAGCUGUUAAUUCCUGUUUCUGGGCUGAUUUACAGCAUCUUGGAAGGAGAUUGCAUUCGGGCUGCAUUAAUCUUUCCUGGCAUACCUAGUGUGAAGGGCGCUUUCAAAGACAGGACUGGGCCCUGUCUUACUGAGCCAACAGCCUCCAAGUUCCUGUCCUCUCUCCACAUUGUUUUGUUGGGUUUGGGGUUUGAUAUUUCCCCUAGGUUUGAAGUGCUAACAAAGCACUGUCUAUUGUAUUUCCCUUGGCCUCUUGCAUUGGUGUGGAUACCGAGCUGUCUUUUACACUGCACAGAGUUCAAACCCUGUAGAGCAUAGUGAAUGACUACUCACUUCCUCCUGUGUUCCUCUGAGAGAGACACAGAAAACAAGAAUCCACCAGGUCAUGUAAGUGCAUGCCUUAAUCUCCAUGCUGUUGUUUCCUCCUUUCAGCUACCUGGUGGACGAGGAACUCUGGCUUGUGAUGGAAUACAUGGACGGAGGUUCUUUACAUGAUGUCAUCAGGGAGACUCACAUGGCAGAAGGAGAGAUAGCAGCUGUCUCUCGGGAGUGCCUGCAAGGCCUGGAUUUCCUGCACUCCAAGCAAGUGAUCCACCGCGAUAUCAAAAGCCACAACAUUCUCCUGGGCUUGGAUGGAUCUGUCAAGUUGGCUGAUUUUGGCCUUGCUGCUCAGCUCACUGCUGAGCAGAGCAAACGGAGAUCAGCUGUUGGGACUACUUACUGGAUGGCGCCAGAAAUUUUCACCAGGAAGCCCUAUGGCCCCAAAGUGGACAUCUGGUCCUUUGGAAUUGUGGGGAUCGAGAUGGUGGAAGGAGCGCCUCCGUACCUGAUGAAAACCUCCCGCACGGUACGCUGCAGCUGCUCUCAGAUACUGCUGUCACCCUGACAAAAUCUGCUCCCAUCCUUCUGCCUGGGAAGCUUGCCAACACCUGAAAAUGAUAGGUUCCAGGCUGCACAGUCUCUUGUGCUUCUUGGCCAGAUCAUCCCCUUGCCAUUUUUGUGCAUGAACAACACCAAAAAAUCGUGAUGCCUUUUGCUUGGCAGAAGCUUUGCCUCAGGGAGCAGGGAGCAGUGCUGAGCUGCAUUUUGUGGAAUAAUCCUUGGAAAUAGUAGAAUGAGAUGGAAGUCCUUCUUUUAAAAUGCCUGAAGAGGUGGUGUCAGUGCUCAGAGAAGCAAAGUGUGCUGUUGCUGAUGGAGCUGCUGCUAAUUCCAGCAGCCAGUGAAAUCAGGGGUCAAGGCAAGAGCCUUUGCAUACUGGACUGGCUAUGGCUGCCUCUGGCUUUGGGUUGUUUUAGUAGGGCUAGGGAGUAAAGUGCCACUGGAGAGUGGAGCUUGUCCAGUGGGGUCUGUGUGAGCAGUUUGGGGUGCGAAGGAGACAGGUAGAGUGUGGCAUUUCCUUCUUCUCUAGGUUCAACAGCUGAUAAGCACCGGGGCCCCCCCGAAGCUGCAGAAGCCCAGGCAGCAGUCGGCGUGGCUGCGAGACUUCCUGCACUGCUGCCUGGAGAGGGACGAGGACAGGCGCUGGUCUGCCCAGGAACUUCUGCAGUUUUCCUGUUGUACCCCUCACUUCCCUGAACCCACUAUCCCUGAGAAGGAGAGGAUGGGAGAUGGAACCUGCUCAAGAGCACAGUGCUCUCAUACCAGGACCUCACUGCUGCCUCACCUGAGGGUUUACAGCUGCCUCCAGGCCCUUCCAGGCUAAGCGCAGGUGCUCAGGAGUCUGACUUCUUCCUGACAUCUCCCAAGAAAGUCUUUGCCUCAUCUGGAUUUCUUGGGGUUUCAUCAGAGGAACCAGGCACCAGCAAAUUUCAUCUCAAGCGUGAGCUCAUCAUUCCGCUGGUUCCCAUAGACUGCAGAUGCCGCCCUGAGCUCAUGGUUUCUCUGCGUCCCAUAGACCAUCACAGCCCUUCCAUGGCCUCUCCAGAGGGAAGCAGCUGCACAUCUUCAGAGCAGUAUUUGCCAGCCUGCAGUUCAUCAGGUAGGGAAAGAGUUUCUACCCUUGCUUUCCAAGCAGGUCCUGGUUAGUGACCCUUUAAAGAGUUUUCCUGCAGUGCUCUAUCAUGGGUAGAUCUCAAGCGAGAAUCGGGUAGAAAGUGUCAAGUCGCCUAGGAAGAGGGAUCUUGAAAACAGAAGGAUUUUCUGCCAGCUUUUCCUGUCCUUGCUGCAGAUUUGGAGGGUGUUCUGGGCAUUUUCCAGACAGCCCUUCUGUAGGGGUACAAGGGCAAGGCAAAAGAUAUUGCCUAACAAGUCAUCAGUGUUAGGUGCACUCCCCUCUUUCUUUGAAUGAAGCCAGACUAGGAUGGUGAGAGGAUAUUGCAGAGCUUUAAGACUGUCUGCCCUGAAAAUCAAGCCAAACCACUGAAAUGAGCUCUGCCUGCCCCAGAAGAGUUGGAGCUGCAGAAUACAGCCUCACCCACAAGGCUGGUUUUAGAAAAAACUCACAGUUUAAUUUCAGCAUGUGUGUCUGAAGAUCUGGGCUCUUCCUGGGUGAAUCCACUUUCUGUGGUCUUUUGUGAUGAGAAACCAAA
RNA transcript from Passer domesticus (house sparrow), 4645 nucleotides. It is a transcript of the gene named serine/threonine-protein kinase PAK 3-like, with no coding region annotated. The record is from RefSeq and is a predicted model, not a curated record. The transcript has 6 exons. NCBI's taxonomy places the organism in Eukaryota, Metazoa, Chordata, Aves, Passeriformes, Passeridae.